Molecule: long non-coding RNA, 379 nt
Filed under: Linum usitatissimum (flax)
Lineage: Eukaryota; Viridiplantae; Streptophyta; Magnoliopsida; Malpighiales; Linaceae
Description: long non-coding RNA (LUSI_LNC006055)
Source: RNAcentral
CGAGUACGGACUCACCGAGGAAGAGGCAAUCCACAAUUUAUUAUUUGUUCUGGCAUUCAACUCGUUCGAAGGAUUUACCCUAUUUAUCCCCAAAUUAUUGACCCGGUUACUCAGCGACUCAACCUUACAAGAGAAGCUUCGGGUCGAAGCGAGGCAGAACGGUGGGACCGAACUGACAUUCACCUCCUUUAAGCAAAUGCCGUUGAUCCAAUCUUUCGUGUACGAGACCCUCAGGCUUGAACCACCGGUUCCAACCCAGUUUGCCCGUGCUAGAAAGGAUUUCACGCUUAGCUCGAGCGAGGCAUCGUAUAAGGUCAAGAAGGGCGAGCUGUUGUGCGGGUACCAACCGUUGGUGAUGCGUGACCCUACUAUUUUCGAC